Carassius auratus (goldfish) is the source of this 129-nucleotide long non-coding RNA. RefSeq lists it as uncharacterized. The transcript has 3 exons. The record is from RefSeq and is a predicted model, not a curated record. NCBI's taxonomy places the organism in Eukaryota, Metazoa, Chordata, Actinopteri, Cypriniformes, Cyprinidae.
GUCAACUUCCCAAGGCUUUUCAGCGUCAAGAAAGAGGAGUUUGAAGGGAUUACGGACACUGAAGACUAUAAGCAGAAAGUUCAAGUCUGGGUGGCCAAAAGUUAUAUUUCAGUGACCUGGUUACUGGUU